AUGCAGGAUAAGUUACAGUCCAGCUGUCAGUGCUGGUUUGUCGUUCCCCCUGCACAAAUAAAUCUGGUUCCUACUAUCCCUGUGUGUUUGAAUCCCACAGCUCACAGGGACGCUUGGUUUCAGACAU
Small nucleolar RNA from Xyrauchen texanus (razorback sucker), 127 nucleotides. RefSeq annotates it as small nucleolar RNA SNORA63. The record is from RefSeq and is a predicted model, not a curated record. Lineage: Eukaryota; Metazoa; Chordata; Actinopteri; Cypriniformes; Catostomidae. The transcript has a single exon.